Molecule: ribosomal RNA, 497 nt
Filed under: uncultured bacterium
Lineage: Bacteria
Description: partial 16S ribosomal RNA
Rfam family: Bacterial small subunit ribosomal RNA
Source: RNAcentral
GACGAACGCUGGCGGCGUGCCUAAUACAUGCAAGUUGAGCGCUGAAGGUUGGUCCUUGUACCAACUGGAUGAGCAGCGAACGGGUGAGUAACGCGUGGGGAAUCUGCCUUUGAGCGGGGGACAACAUUUGGAAACGAAUGCUAAUACCGCAUAAAAACUUUAAACACAAGUUUUAAGUUUGAAAGAUGCAAUUGCAUCACUCAAAGAUGAUCCCGCGUUGUAUUAGCUAGUUGGUGAGGUAAAGGCUCACCAAGGCGAUGAUACAUAGCCGACCUGACAGGGUGAUCGGCCACAUGGGGACUGAGACACGGCACAAACUCCUACGGGAGGCAGCAGUAGGGAAUCGUCGGCAAUGGACGAAAGUCUGACCGAGCAACGCCGCGUGAGUGAAGAAGAUUUUCGGAUCGUAAAACUCUGUUGGUAGGGAAGAACGUUGGUGAGAGUGGAAAGCUCAUCAAGUGACGGUAACUACCCAGAAAGGGACGGCUAACUACGUG